Molecule: non-coding RNA, 2232 nt
Organism: Camellia sinensis
Lineage: Eukaryota; Viridiplantae; Streptophyta; Magnoliopsida; Ericales; Theaceae
Source: RefSeq, a predicted model, not a curated record
AAAAUAAAAAAUUUUCCCAUAUUUUGUCUUGCUGCUUUCCUCCCCUCUCUCUCUCUCUCUCUCUCUCUCAAAACACACCGGCACAAGGCAUGUUGUCAAUAUAUCAAAAUGCACAAUCUCCAAGUCUUCGGCUUCUAAUCAAAAUGAACCUAGAAGGUUUCAUCAAACGAGAGAAGGGUUCGAAGGGAGCUCAACUCUCUGAAUCGUCCCAUGAAGAAGGGUUACCUGGUACACAGUGCUUUGUUGAUUUCUGUUAAAGGUUUCGAAACCACCACAGUCAAGAGGUGUUGAUUGAACGAAGGUAGAUUUUUCUGUUUCUGGCCAAACUCUGUUCAGAUUGUUCUAUCACCAUUUGUUCUAUUUCAUGUAUAUGUUUAGUGAUUUUGGGGACUUCAAUUGAAAGAAACAAAAUAAAAGUUUUGAGAAGUUAAGUUUUAAAUUGAGAAUUUUGGGUUUUUAUUUGGGGGGGUUUUGAUUGAAAAAUUAAGGUUUUGUUGUCAUUGCCAAUUUUUCAAGUAAUUUUGAUUUUUACUUCUAAUGGUUUCUAUUUUAGUUUCACCAUUCUUUCUUUGUUCAAGAUUUGUGCUAGGUUUUUACUGGAAAGAAAAUUCGUAUAAGGUGAUUCUCUUCCUUGUCUUUGUGUGAUGUUUGCAUAUGUUUGUAUGUAUCUAAAUAUUAACGUAUACCCAAAAUCGUGACUCUCCAUAUCAAGAUGAUUUGUGUUAUGUGUACGAUUAUUACUUAUAUCUAUUUCUCUUUGUUGUUUUUGGCUGGGUAUGUUUGUGAAUCUAUGUUUUCUUAGGUAUCUCUAUGUAUCCCUAUUUUAUUUCUACCGUCUAGCAGAGAAGAAAACUAUAUACAUGUUAUUUAUGCCUCCUAGGUGCUUGAUAAAAUGCCACUAAAAUGACUGGCUCUUCCUAUACUUUUAUAUUGUUUUCUUGUGGGUGUUUUUUUAAUAUAUAUCUAUCUAUAUCUCUAAACUAUUAUUAAAAGUGAACACCUCACUUAAUUUCUAUGAAUUCCUUUCUCUCCUUGCCUCAAGUGUCAAUUUCUCUCCGCAAAAGGAAAAAAUAGUAGUUAUACGAGGGCUAUGAAUUGGUGGGGUUUAGAGCUAUGAAUUGUACCUUUUUUUAGUGCUUUGUGUUUGUGGUGUAGGGGUUAGUUGAUCUGUGGGAGUGGAAUUAAUGGGCCAUUUAGACUUAAGAUGAGAUAGCAUCAAUUGUUCAUGCAUUGCUGGCUUCAACUCUAUUUUGUUUCUCCUUGAGUGACAUGGACUUCUUUAUUUCAUAAAUAGCAAAAAUCAAAAUGCAUAGCUAUUAAAUUAGAUGACAUUAUCUGAAUGACUCAUAAUUUUGAAAUGGAAACAUGAAAACAUUAUUAAAAAAUCUGAAUAGUUGUACAUAACUGAUAAUGUUUCUACCUUCAUUUUCUAUGCUAGUGAGAUGGGCCAUAUAGCCUCCACAGGAUAUUCACUAUCAAUGGGCGGGUGCAAUCCUAUGAAUCUUGUAUAUAUAUAUGUAUAUAUAUAUAUAAAGAAAAUGGCUAUAUUUGAAACUUAUCCUGUUAUAUAUGAGAAAUCACCAAGGACAUGAAAAGUUUGGUGGAAUAAAAAUGUGAAUAAAUCACAAAAUAUAAAGCUUAUUCAGCGAGCAUAAGCUUCUUGAUAUGUUAUGUUUUGUGGAUUUGCAGAGUUCUUGCCCAAGUUGCAUACUAUGGUUCUCACUAACAAUCAACUAACUAACUUGGUUGAGAUUGAUCCUCUUGCAUCCCUAAGCUGCAGUUCCUUAGUCUUCUUGAUAAUAAUAUCACAAAGAAGCCAAAUUGCUGCUUAUAUGUCAUCCACAAGCUGAAAUCAUUGCGCUUGCUGGACUUCAAGAAAGUGAAACACAAGGUCUAUCAGUUGUUCAGAAUAGCAAUCCUGAUGCUAUAUUUUUGGCUCAUGAGAACACCAUGGGUCGCAUUCGAAAAGGUUACAAUUUUCCUUUGUUUAAUCUCCCUAGUCCUUUGAGGCCUUUGCUUGAUUUUUUGUUUUGGGAAAGAAUUUUGAUCAAGGCCAUGUAUGCAUAGCUAUUUCUUUAUUUUAGAAGUCAACUCCCUUGGCAUCUUAAUUUUCCUUGUUGUCUACAUGUAUAUUUCAGAUUUUGUUUAUUUAUUUAUUGUUUUUGAGGUGGGGCUUAGACUGAAGACUUUUGUAAGGUUUAGGAAGUUAGUUUGUGAAUGUGGGAAAGACUA